AAAUUGAAGAGUUUGAUCAUGGCUCAGAUUGAACGCUGGCGGCAGGCCUAACACAUGCAAGUCGAGCGGUAGCACAGAGAGCUUGCUCUCGGGUGACGAGCGGCGGACGGGUGAGUAAUGUCUGGGAAACUGCCUGAUGGAGGGGGAUAACUACUGGAAACGGUAGCUAAUACCGCAUAAUGUCGCAAGACCAAAGUGGGGGACCUUCGGGCCUCAUGCCAUCAGAUGUGCCCAGAUGGGAUUAGCUAGUAGGUGGGGUAACGGCUCACCUAGGCGACGAUCCCUAGCUGGUCUGAGAGGAUGACCAGCCACACUGGAACUGAGACACGGUCCAGACUCCUACGGGAGGCAGCAGUGGGGAAUAUUGCACAAUGGGCGCAAGCCUGAUGCAGCCAUGCCGCGUGUGUGAAGAAGGCCUUCGGGUUGUAAAGCACUUUCAGCGGGGAGGAAGGCGUUAAGGUUAAUAACCUUGGCGAUUGACGUUACCCGCAGAAGAAGCACCGGCUAACUCCGUGCCAGCAGCCGCGGUAAUACGGAGGGUGCAAGCGUUAAUCGGAAUUACUGGGCGUAAAGCGCACGCAGGCGGUCUGUCAAGUCGGAUGUGAAAUCCCCGGGCUCAACCUGGGAACUGCAUUCGAAACUGGCAGGCUAGAGUCUUGUAGAGGGGGGUAGAAUUCCAGGUGUAGCGGUGAAAUGCGUAGAGAUCUGGAGGAAUACCGGUGGCGAAGGCGGCCCCCUGGACAAAGACUGACGCUCAGGUGCGAAAGCGUGGGGAGCAAACAGGAUUAGAUACCCUGGUAGUCCACGCCGUAAACGAUGUCGAUUUGGAGGUUGUGCCCUUGAGGCGUGGCUUCCGGAGCUAACGCGUUAAAUCGACCGCCUGGGGAGUACGGCCGCAAGGUUAAAACUCAAAUGAAUUGACGGGGGCCCGCACAAGCGGUGGAGCAUGUGGUUUAAUUCGAUGCAACGCGAAGAACCUUACCUG
RNAcentral lists this ribosomal RNA (985 nucleotides) under Klebsiella pneumoniae. RNAcentral's name for it is "bacterial SSU rRNA". It matches the Rfam family "Bacterial small subunit ribosomal RNA", at positions 1 to 977 of the family's 1533-position model. The record is from RNAcentral. Lineage: Bacteria; Pseudomonadati; Pseudomonadota; Gammaproteobacteria; Enterobacterales; Enterobacteriaceae.